RNAcentral lists this ribosomal RNA (552 nucleotides) under uncultured fungus. Its description in RNAcentral is "SSU rRNA". It matches the Rfam family "Eukaryotic small subunit ribosomal RNA", at positions 548 to 1098 of the family's 1831-position model. The record is from RNAcentral. Lineage: Eukaryota; Fungi.
UUGGAGGGCAAGUCUGGUGCCAGCAGCCGCGGUAAUUCCAGCUCCAAUAGCGUAUAUUAAAGUUGUUGCAGUUAAAAAGCUCGUAGUUGAAUUUCGGGAUCGACGGGUCGGUCGCGCCUCUGGUGUGUACUGGCCCUGUCGGUUUCUCCCUUCUGACGAACUACGAUGUCAUUAAUUUGGUGUCGUGGGGAAUCAGGACUGUUACUUUGAAAAAAUUAGAGUGUUUAAAGCAAGCAUUCGCUUGAAUAUAUUAGCAUGGAAUAAUGAAAUAGGACGUUUGAUCUUAUUUUGUUGGUUUCUAAGAUCGACGUAAUGAUUAAUAGGGAUAGUUGGGGGCAUUAGUAUUCAAUUGUCAGAGGUGAAAUUCUUGGAUUUAUUGAAGACUAACUACUGCGAAAGCAUUUGCCCAGGGAUGUUUUUCAUUUAAUCAAGAACGAAAGUUAGGGGAUCGAAGACGAUCAGAUACCGUCGUAGUCUUAACCAUAAACUAUGCCGACUAGGAAUCGGAUGAUGUUAAUUUUUUAAUGACUCAUUCGGCGCCUUACGGGAAAC